GAUGCCUAACCUUAGGGUAAGUUGAAAUGUACCCUUUUUUUUCAUCAGAGGAAGAUUUUAUAAGUGUAUAAUCGGAAUAUAACAAAUAAAAGAAGGCAUAAAUUAAAUAUAUAGAAAAGAAAAGUAAAAAUGAAAUGGAUUAAGAAAGAAAGAUAUAGAGUGCAAUUUCCCAAAGCCCAUAUUACAGGCCCAACUCCAAGCCCAGCCGCUAAGCAAUCGCAAUAAAAACCUAGAAAACCUAGGUGAGUACACUACACAAUCUUAUAAAACCCUAGUUACACUCUCAUGCCACUCUGUACAAUUUAACAUGCUUCUACUUUUCUACCAUCGUCUUCUGCACUUGCCUCCUAAAGCUGUCUUCCAUUCGAAUUGUUGGGACAUGGUUGCUAUGAUGAGAUAAAGCACUGGAUGUGUUUAUGGGUAGUGGACGAGGCUUCUUAAUGUUGUCUCGCCGUGAGCCUAAUUAAAAAACGACUUCUCCUUCCACUGAGCUUUAUUUAGUCCCGUAUUUGUUUAUUUUUGUUUUCUAGUUUGAGUUCUUAGAGAGAUGCUGCGCCCUUUUACCAAUUCUGGGGAUAAUUUGUUCCUCUCAGGUAUAAUGGCUUGGGCGCUAUAACAAUUUGUGGCUAUCCUGAUCGAUGUUCUUUCAAUGCCAUUAGAUCCUGGAAACACCUCGUACAACCAUUGCAUCAUAUAAUUGUUUUUAUUGAAUUGCAUGUUGCACCCCGGGCUUACCUGAUUGCCCUUUUGACGGCCAAAGCCCCAAUGCACGUGCUAUAACGGCGCCGUUCAGUGUUGCAGUUUGGCUUCGAUAUAUUUUACCACGGCUUGGCUGUGUCAAAGAAACGGCUACAUUAUAUUUUUCUUUUCUAACUCUAUUUUGGGCCUCCCUACACCUUUAGCUUGUUUUUUAGUAUAAAUUACACGAUGAAAACAACGCUAGUCCUUGAGGCCAAUAUUUUAUGGCGGUGUUACACGUGGUGGUAAAUGUUUUUAAUGAUUUUGCCUCUAAAGACAUCCGCUACAUUUGUUUGUUUUUUUUUUUAUUUUGUUAAAUUUGUGAUUGUGUUGUUUUUGGCAAUGAUUAAUAUUUAUCCGCGCUUCUGAGUGCACUCAAUGAAGUACAAAAAUAAAUUAUGGUUGAAUUUCUUAAUAUGAGCCAAUUUACAAAUAGUUUUAUUUCAUUUAUUCAUUCACUUGUUACCUUUCCUUGAUUUCUAAUUGGCUGUGAUGAUGUAAACUUCAGCUUUAAUGCCAGUUCUGCUUCAGAAAAUUCUUGAUUGAUAGGGCUGUUUAUAUAACCUGAGCCAUUUUGUUUAUUGUCAUGGAUGCUGUUGUUGGUUGAUUUGUAUUCUAGUCAAUGUGUUUUCUAUUGAUGAGUCUAUCCAAUUUGUUGAGUUUUGUUGAAGCUGAAACCCUGUUUUCAGGGAGAACCCCUUGGUGAAUCUACAUUUCAUAUGACAUCAUUGGAUUUAAUUGAGGUUCCUUUUCUUACCAAUUGUUAUUAUAUUUGUUUUAUUAUUGUAUUGAUUGAGUAUUCACUAAGUCUGGGAAGAUUCAAUCCAAUUGUUUUAGGUGUUGUGGAGUCGAGACCCUGUUUACAGGGAGAACCCCUUGGCGAUACUUCAUUUCAUAUGAAUUUAAUGGAUUUAACUGAGGCUAAGCUAUAUCAUUAGUUAUAUUUCUUUUGUUUUCAAACAGAAUUCUAUAUGUUUGAGUUUAACUAUACUCUUAUCCUUAAUUAAGUGGUAGGUAUAAGAGUCUGAAAAAACUCAUAAAUUGUGUGUUGUCUAUCAGCUUCAUCUUUUGUAAUACUACGAGAAUGGAGUUAAAUAACAGCACUACAUGUGAAAACAAGUACAUGUUUAUUGCC
Long non-coding RNA from Cannabis sativa, 1873 nucleotides. RefSeq lists it as uncharacterized. The record is from RefSeq and is a predicted model, not a curated record. Lineage: Eukaryota; Viridiplantae; Streptophyta; Magnoliopsida; Rosales; Cannabaceae. The transcript is spliced from 2 exons.